This is a long non-coding RNA of Corapipo altera (White-ruffed manakin), 1044 nucleotides long. RefSeq lists it as uncharacterized. Lineage: Eukaryota; Metazoa; Chordata; Aves; Passeriformes; Pipridae. The record is from RefSeq and is a predicted model, not a curated record. The transcript is spliced from 3 exons.
GCCACCGCCCUCCCCUCCGGCUGACACUUGUCGUGCGCAGACAACACGCGCUGUACCAAACAAUUCAGCCCGAGCCCUGCUGCAAACUCGCCGCGUUAUUUUUCUCCUCCGCUUGUUUAUGGCUGACGCUAUCUCCCCGCACCGCUCCCUCGGUUUCAUUAUCUCUGCUCGCAGAUGGCCCGUGGCUUUCCCUCCUUCGCGGGGUUUCUGCUCGUGGUACAGCUCCAUCUCCCCCUCCCAGCUCUGUCCCUCACCCUGGCUCACAGGUGAUGCUCCCAAAUUGGUCCCACCUCGUCCCUCUCAGCCCCUCAGCUCCAGCCCCGGUUCUUCCUGCUGUGGCUUCUGCUUCCCUGAAUCCCAUUUACGGGUUUCCAGGUGAGCCUUUCCCAGAAAAGCACUUCACUUCAGCAGUCCUGCGUUCUGCAGUGCCUCUUCCCAAACAGAUGAUGAAUUUAUUUAAUCUGGAGGAUUAAAGAAGUGCUACAACUUCCAAGGAUUCAAAGACGUGGUGGAAAAAGUGACCUCACUGGCAAAGACUUUGAGACUUCACAAACCGCCUUCACGAGGCAGAAGAAUAUGACAUGGGAACGGCUGGCUGGAACAACGGCGUGUCUUAAUGCCAGCGUGGUUGGUGGAGCUGGGGAGGAGGAAUGCUAUUAAGAAGUUUGCAGCUUUUAUUGUGUGCUGUCAAAGGAAAACUUGCAGCCUGAAGGAACAGGCGUCAUGGACUAUUGGUCCUGUCUGGAAACAGAAUAAAUAUUGGAGGCAAAUAUGUUAAAAUCUGUUUUGGCCAUCACACAGACUCAAGGGAGACAGCUCGGAUGCCCCGUUCCCUCCUUUCUUACCUUAAUAAAUGGCAACAUCUCACUUUCUUACAAACUUCUCUGUCUUCAUCCUUGUGGACAUGUGCAGCAUUCAUUGUUUUGAAUCCUGGUAACCUCUAGGUGAAAGAACUCAUUAGAAAAACCAAAACCCACCAGAUUUUCUGACUUGUUUUCAUAGAUCACAGGCAAACAUUAGAAAAUAUUGUGAAACAUUGUUCCU